UGCAAGUCGAACGGAAAGGCCCCUUCGGGGGUACUCGAGUGGCGAACGGGUGAGUAACACGUGGGCAAUCUGCCCUGCACUUCGGGAUAAGCCUGGGAAACUGGGUCUAAUACCGGAUAGGACCUUUAGGCGCAUGUCUUUAGGUGGAAAGCUUUUGCGGUGUGGGAUGGGCCCGCGGCCUAUCAGCUUGUUGGUGGGGUGAUGGCCUACCAAGGCGACGACGGGUAGCCGGCCUGAGAGGGUGUCCGGCCACACUGGGACUGAGAUACGGCCCAGACUCCUACGGGAGGCAGCAGUGGGGAAUAUUGCACAAUGGGCGCAAGCCUGAUGCAGCGACGCCGCGUGGGGGAUGACGGCCUUCGGGUUGUAAACCUCUUUCACCAUCGACGAAGGUUCGGGUUUUCUCGGAUUGACGGUAGGUGGAGAAGAAGCACCGGCCAACUACGUGCCAGCAGCCGCGGUAAUACGUAGGGUGCGAGCGUUGUCCGGAAUUACUGGGCGUAAAGAGCUCGUAGGUGGUUUGUCGCGUUGUUCGUGAAAUCUCACGGCUUAACUGUGAGCGUGCGGGCGAUACGGGCAGACUAGAGUACUGCAGGGGAGACUGGAAUUCCUGGUGUAGCGGUGGAAUGCGCAGAUAUCANGAGGAACACCGGUGGCGAAGGCGGGUCUCUGGGCAGUAACUGACGCUGAGGAGCGAAAGCGUGGGAGCGAACAGGAUUAGAUACCCUGGUAGUCCACGCCGUAAACGGUGGGUACUAGGUGUGGGUUUCCUUCCUUGGGAUCCGUGCNGUAGCUUAAC
RNAcentral lists this ribosomal RNA (799 nucleotides) under Mycobacterium intracellulare subsp. chimaera. RNAcentral describes it as "bacterial SSU rRNA". It matches the Rfam family "Bacterial small subunit ribosomal RNA", at positions 56 to 856 of the family's 1533-position model. The record is from RNAcentral. Lineage: Bacteria; Bacillati; Actinomycetota; Actinomycetes; Mycobacteriales; Mycobacteriaceae.